UAACCAAGGUGUCACUAUACGGACUGC
This 27-nucleotide non-coding RNA is filed under the name Rattus norvegicus (Norway rat). Lineage: Eukaryota; Metazoa; Chordata; Mammalia; Rodentia; Muridae. The record is from RNAcentral.